Long non-coding RNA from Brassica oleracea var. oleracea, 1049 nucleotides. RefSeq lists it as uncharacterized. The record is from RefSeq and is a predicted model, not a curated record. Lineage: Eukaryota; Viridiplantae; Streptophyta; Magnoliopsida; Brassicales; Brassicaceae. The transcript has 5 exons.
UCAGAAAGUAUUGUCUUAAAACCAAAAACUAACCGACGGAGAAGUCUCGGUCUCUCCAAAGCAAUGAAUCUGGAAAUGUUCAUCAAAUCAACAUCUUUUCCGGUCGAAGAAAGAAAAAAAAAGAGGAUAGAGAUCGAUGGAGAAGUUAAAGGAGCUAAUCAUUCAAUAUCUCGAUCUUUCAAACAUGCAUCCACUUCUAGAUCUAACAUACCAGAUCGAAUUAACAAAAUAGAUCAAAAAUACAACAAUACGAAAUCACCGACUUGUCCAGAUUCAUUCAAAGCUCGAGUUAAAUCCAAAUAAUGAAGGCUUUUAGAAUAAUCCGACUACAGAAAAAUGCAGGACAAAGGUCGGACAGAUGAAGACCUUAUUUUAUUAAUUAGUAUCUAAACAUCGACUAUAAAAGCAUCAGAGAAGGUCGUGCAGUGACAUUCUAAAGACAGUGACGGAUUCAUUUGACCGUAACUAACAAUUAUAAAAACACUACAACCUGAGAAAAGAUAAGUUUUUAAAACAAUGACAUGGCUCAUUUCAACGCAUACAAUGACUUCUACAAUCAAAUUUAAGAUUUGUAGAAUCUAUUACAUGAACUUUUAUCUUUAUUUUACGGGACAAAAUUGACUGUUGUAUGAUUAUAAGAGACAUAAGGCAAAGUCCUACAAUAUCCAUACAAUACAGAGAUAAGUCUUGGACUAUUCACUUGUCUAUUUUAUUGAGUAAAUCUUUUCUUCUCCAGCAUUCCACGUUUAUAGCAAAUUAGUACUUGUCCUGGACUAUAGAGUAAAAAUCUAGAUUGUUGUAUAUUUUAUUGAGUUGUAGUAUUAAUGUAUACAAUUGAAGUGCAUGCCGUGCAGUUUCAUCUUUAGAUACAAAGCUUUAUUCAUGUGAAGACCAUGGGACAUGAAACAUUCUGCAACACGUUUCCAAAUCAUAAAUUUGUGGGUUAACGACCUAAUCUGUGCAAGAAAUAUUAUAUCAUGAUAAUGUGCUGGCAAAGACUGACGUGAAUUUGUUUUUUUUUUUGUUAUACGUUUUAAUCGAGCUCUUUA